This 253-nucleotide ribosomal RNA is filed under the name uncultured bacterium. Its description in RNAcentral is "partial 16S ribosomal RNA". It matches the Rfam family "Bacterial small subunit ribosomal RNA", at positions 524 to 776 of the family's 1533-position model. The record is from RNAcentral.
UACGUAGGGUGCGAGCGUUAAUCGGAAUUACUGAACAUAAAGCGUGCGCAGGCAGUUCGUUGUGUCUGAUGUGAAAGCCCCGGGCUCAACCUGGGAAUGGCAUUGGAAACUGGCGAGCUAGAGUGUGGCAGAGGGGGGUGGAAUUCCUGGUGUAGCGGUGGAAUGCGCAGAUAUCAGGAGGAACACCGGUGGCGAAGGCGGGAUCCUGGGCUAGUACUGACGCUGAGGAGCGAAAGCGUGGGGAGCAAACAGG